GGGGCAGCAUGGUCUUAGCUUGCUAAGGCUGAUGGCGACCGGCGCACGGGUGAGUAACACGUAUCCAACCUGCCGUCUACUCUUGGCCAGCCUUCUGAAAGGAAGAUUAAUCCAGGAUGGCAUCAUGAGUUCACAUGUCCGCAUGAUUAAAGGUAUUUUCCGGUAGACGAUGGGGAUGCGUUCCAUUAGAUAGUAGGCGGGGUAACGGCCCACCUAGUCAACGAUGGAUAGGGGUUCUGAGAGGAAGGUCCCCCACAUUGGAACUGAGACACGGUCCAAACUCCUACGGGAGGCAGCAGUGGGGAAUAUUGGUCAAUGGGCGAUGGCCUGAACCAGCCAAGUAGCGUGAAGGAUGACUGCCCUAUGGGUUGUAAACUUCUUUUAUAAAGGAAUAAAGUCGGGUAUGCAUACCCGUUUGCAUGUACUUUAUGAAUAAGGAUCGGCUAACUCCGUGCCAGCAGCCGCGGUAAUACGGAGGAUCCGAACGUUAUCCGGAUUUAUUGGGUUUAAAGGGAGCGUAGAUGGAUGUUUAAGUCAGUUGUGAAAGUUUGCGGCUCAACCGUAAAAUUGCAGUUGAUACUGGAUGUCUUGAGUGCAGUUGAGGCAGGCGGAAUUCGUGGUGUAGCGGUGAAAUGCUUAGAUAUCACGAAGAACUCCGAUUGCGAAGGCAGCCUGCUAAGCUGCAACUGACAUUGAGGCUCGAAAGUGUGGGUAUCAAACAGG
Molecule: ribosomal RNA, 723 nt
Filed under: uncultured Bacteroidales bacterium
Lineage: Bacteria; Pseudomonadati; Bacteroidota; Bacteroidia; Bacteroidales
Description: bacterial SSU rRNA
Rfam family: Bacterial small subunit ribosomal RNA
Source: RNAcentral